GACGUAGGUGGCGAACGUUAUCCGGAAUUAUUGGGCGUAAAGAGCGUGUAGGCGGUUUGGUAGGUCCGCUGUGAAAACUCGAGGCCCAACCUCGAGACGCCGGUGGAAACCAUCAGACUAGAGUCCGGAAGAGGAGAGUGGAAUUCCUGGUGUAGCGGUGAAAUGCGCAGAUAUCAGGAGGAACACCGGUGGCGAAGGCGGGUCUCUGGGCCGAUACUGACGCUGAGGAGCGAAAGCGUGGGGAGCGAACAGG
RNAcentral lists this ribosomal RNA (253 nucleotides) under uncultured bacterium. RNAcentral's name for it is "partial 16S ribosomal RNA". It matches the Rfam family "Bacterial small subunit ribosomal RNA", at positions 524 to 776 of the family's 1533-position model. The record is from RNAcentral.